CCUACGGGAGGCAGCAGUGAGGAAUAUUGGACAAUGGGCGCAAGCCUGAUCCAGCCAUGCCGCGUGCAGGAUGACGGUCCUAUGGAUUGUAAACUGCUUUUGCACAGGAAGAAACAACGCUACGUGUAGCGUCUUGACGGUACUGUGAGAAUAAGGAUCGGCUAACUCCGUGCCAGCAGCCGCGGUAAUACGGAGGAUCCAAGCGUUAUCCGGAAUCAUUGGGUUUAAAGGGUCCGUAGGCGGUCUUAUAAGUCAGUGGUGAAAUCUCCCCGCUCAACGGGGAAACGGCCAUUGAUACUGUAGGACUUGAAUUAUUAGGAAGUAACUAGAAUAUGUAGUGUAGCGGUGAAAUGCUUAGAGAUUACAUGGAAUACCAAUUGCGAAGGCAGGUUACUACUAAUGGAUUGACGCUGAUGGACGAAAGCGUGGGUAGCGAACAGGAUUAGAUACCCUGGUAGUCCACGCCGUAAACGAUGGAUACUAGCUGUUGGGUGCAAAACUCAGUGGCUAAGCGAAAAGUGAUAAGUAUCCCACCUGGGGAGUACGUUCGCAAGAAUGAAACUCAAAAGGAAUUGACGGNNGAGAGAGCGAGAGACACGAGGGAGAGG
Molecule: ribosomal RNA, 608 nt
Filed under: uncultured bacterium
Lineage: Bacteria
Description: bacterial SSU rRNA
Rfam family: Bacterial small subunit ribosomal RNA
Source: RNAcentral